UACGUAGGGGGCUAGCGUUGUCCGGAUUUAUUGGGCGUAAAGAGCGUGUAGGCGGCCAGGUAGGUCUGCUGUGAAAACUCGAGGCUCAACCUCGAGACGUCGGCGGAAACCAUCUGGCUAGAGUCCGGAAGAGGAGAGUGGAAUUCCUGGUGUAGCGGUGAAAUGCGUAGAUAUCUGGAGGAACACCGGUGGCGAAGGCGGCAUCCUGGACCGACACUGACGCUGAGGAGCGAAAGCCAGGGGAGCAAACGGG
RNAcentral lists this ribosomal RNA (253 nucleotides) under uncultured bacterium. RNAcentral's name for it is "partial 16S ribosomal RNA". It matches the Rfam family "Bacterial small subunit ribosomal RNA", at positions 524 to 776 of the family's 1533-position model. The record is from RNAcentral.